RNAcentral lists this ribosomal RNA (409 nucleotides) under Fageicera sp. 478 FL-2019. Its description in RNAcentral is "partial large subunit ribosomal RNA". The record is from RNAcentral. Lineage: Eukaryota; Metazoa; Arthropoda; Arachnida; Araneae; Ochyroceratidae.
CCUGCUCAAUGAUCACUUUAAAUAGCCGCAAUUUCGUGCUAAGGUAGCAUAAUAACUUGUUUCUUAAUUAGAAAAUAGAAUGAAAGGAUAAACGUUUAUUUUCUAUCUUUUAUGAAUACAAAUACAAAUUAAAAAUAAAAAUCAUAAUAUUUUUAUAAAAAAGGAAGACGACAAGACCCUAAGAACUUUUUUAAUAAAUUAACUGGGGAAGUUCAUAAAUAAUCAUUUAAUAUUUACUAGAAAUAAAAGCUAUGAAGAAUAUAAACACAGUUACCUUAGGGAUAACAGCGUAAUAAAUAUUUAAAGAACGUAUACUAAUAUUAGAUUGCGACCUCGAUGUUGAAUUAAUAUUUCUUUUAUAAGAACAAUUAUAUAAAAGUAAGUCUGUUCGACUUAUAAUAUAUUACAU